This 436-nucleotide long non-coding RNA is filed under the name Homo sapiens (human). RNAcentral's name for it is "HSALNT0376126". The record is from RNAcentral. Lineage: Eukaryota; Metazoa; Chordata; Mammalia; Primates; Hominidae.
CAUAAAUGGGAUUAGCACUCUUACAAAAGAGGCCUGAGAGAGUUGCCUCGGCCUUUGGCCUUGUCAGGUUACACUGAGAAGACAGCUAUCUAUGAAUCAGGAAGCAGAGCUUCACCAGGGAUUUGGCGAAGUGGAAGAGAAGGCUUAAAGUUCUAUUUUCAGAUAAAAUGAGCACGAAGAAGAGAAAACAGAAAACAUCCAUUGAAUCCUCUGCCUCUGGUAAUGUAUGGCUCCCAGUAUGCCUCCUUCAAGAGCAUGACUGACCCAAUUACUAGUAUGAGCAAAAGGAAGAAACCCCCAAUUGAACUGAUGAAAAACAUAAACAGUGGCAAUGAAUUAUAACCCAGUUAAAACUGGAUCUGAAAGCUGAAUAAAAGACAUGCAAAAGCUAAAAAUGCCUAUGCCUAAUUAAAUCAUUAUUAAUAAAAUAACUGGA